AGUCGAACGGCAGCACGGGGGCAACCCUGGUGGCGAGUGGCGAACGGGUGAGUAAUACAUCGGAACGUGUCCUGUAGUGGGGGAUAGCCCGGCGAAAGCCGGAUUAAUACCGCAUACGCUCUACGGAGGAAAGGGGGGGAUCUUAGGACCUCCCGCUACAGGGGCGGCCGAUGGCAGAUUAGCUAGUUGGUGGGGUAAAGGCCUACCAAGGCGACGAUCUGUAGCUGGUCUGAGAGGACGACCAGCCACACUGGGACUGAGACACGGCCCAGACUCCUACGGGAGGCAGCAGUGGGGAAUUUUGGACAAUGGGCGCAAGCCUGAUCCAGCAAUGCCGCGUGUGUGAAGAAGGCCUUCGGGUUGUAAAGCACUUUUGUCCGGAAAGAAAACCUCCGCCCUAAUAUGGUGGGGGGAUGACGGUACCGGAAGAAUAAGCACCGGCUAACUACGUGCCAGCAGCCGCGGUAAUACGUAGGGUGCAAGCGUUAAUCGGAAUUACUGGGCGUAAAGCGUGCGCAGGCGGUCCGCUAAGACAGAUGUGAAAUCCCCGGGCUUAACCUGGGAACUGCAUUUGUGACUGGCGGGCUAGAGUAUGGCAGAGGGGGGUAGAAUUCCACGUGUAGCAGUGAAAUGCGUAGAGAUGUGGAGGAAUACCGAUGGCGAAGGCAGCCCCCUGGGCCAAUACUGACGCUCAUGCACGAAAGCGUGGGGAGCAAACAGGAUUAGAUACCCUGGUAGUCCACGCCCUAAACGAUGUCAACUAGUUGUCGGGUCUUCAUUGACUUGGUAACGUAGCUAACGCGUGAAGUUGACCGCCUGGGGAGUACGGUCGCAAGAUUAAAACUCAAAGGAAUUGACGGGGACCCGCACAAGCGGUGGAUGAUGUGGAUUAAUUCGAUGCAACGCGAAAAACCUUACCUACCCUUGACAUGUAUGGAAUUCUGCCGAGAGGUGGGAGUGCCCGAAAGGGAGCCGUAACACAGGUGCUGCAUGGCUGUCGUCAGCUC
Molecule: ribosomal RNA, 1007 nt
Filed under: Paraburkholderia sediminicola
Lineage: Bacteria; Pseudomonadati; Pseudomonadota; Betaproteobacteria; Burkholderiales; Burkholderiaceae
Description: bacterial SSU rRNA
Rfam family: Bacterial small subunit ribosomal RNA
Source: RNAcentral